AUUAAGGGCAUACGGAGGAUGGCUAGACAGAACGUGCCGAUGAAGGACGUAGCAGCCUGCGAUAAGCUUCGGGGAGGUGGCAAGCAACCUUUGAUCCGGAGAUUUCCGAAUGGGGAAACCCGUUACGUUGAAGGCGUAUCAUCUACCGCUGAAUAUAUAGGCGGUAUGAAGGGCACCUGGGGAAGUGAAACAUCUCAGUACCCAGAGGAAAGGAAAAAGAUUAACUCGCUUUGUGUUCAAAGUGUUCUUCGAACAUUUUGAACAUUUAAGUGAGUCCAUUCCCUAAGUAGUGGCGAACGAAAGGGGAACAGUCCAAACUUUUUUAGUGAAACCUUCCGGAUCUUUUCUUUAUGGAGAGUGAAGGAUGGUGAAAGGUGGCAGCCGUUGCUAAAAAAGUGUUGUAAGAUGUUUGUGUGAUUUUCUGCCGAAAGUCGACUUUAGCACGAUAUAUAACAGAAUUCGCUGGAAAGCGAAACCACAGAAGGUGAUAGUCCUGUAAGUGAAAUAUUUCGUGUUACGGUUACAAACACUCUUGAGUACCACGAGACUCGCGAAAUCUUGUGGGAAUCUGCCGCGACUAUGUGGCAAGACUAAAUACGCGUUCUGAUCGAUAGUGAACCAGUACCGUGAGGGAAAGCUUAAAAGAACCCCGGAAGGGGAAUGAAAUAGUAUCUGAAACCGUAUGCUUACAAGGAGUUAGAGUCCCACCGUAGCCCGUAAGGGCGAAGGGGGAUGAUAGCGUUCCUAUUGAAGAAUGAGCCAACGAGUGUGCUGCGUGUCGCUCGGUUAAGCCUUAAGGGGCGAAGCCAUAGUGAAAGCAAGCGUUCACCCGCGUUCUCUGACUUUGUUCAAGGAUCCGUAGAGGUAUAAAAUUUUAUGCCUUCUAUAGCCCUUGAACAUAGUCAGAAGGUGGCACGCACACGACCCGAAACCGAGUGAUCUAACCAUGGCCAGGGUGAAGCGAGUGUAAUAGCUCGUGAAGGCCCGAACCCACGCGCCGUACAACACGCGGGGAUGAGCUGUGGUUAGCGGAGAAAUUCCAAUCGAACUCGGUAAUAGCUGGUUCUCCCCGAGAUAGCUUUUGGGCUAGCGUCGGUAAAUAAUGUGUUGGGGGUAGAGCACUGAAUGGGACGGUCGCCGCAAGGUAGACCUCCUAACCAAACUCCGAAUACCAACACGUGUUCCCGGCAGUCAGACGAUGGGGGCUAAGCUCCAUACGUCGAAAGGAAAACAGUCCAGAUCUCAAACUAAGGUCCCUAAAUCAUCAUUAAGUGUAGAAGGUGGUGAAGAGGCUCAUACAACCAGGAGGUUGGCUUAGAAGCAGCCAUCCUUUAAAGAUAGCGUAACAGCUCACUGGUCAAGCCUUUUUGCGCCGAAAAUGUACCGGGGCUAAAUGGUGUACCGAAGUUGAGGGUUUAAUCGCAAGAUUAAGCGGUAGGGGAGCAUUCGCAUCUGCGCUGAAGUCGUGUCGUAAGGCAUGGUGGAGCGUUGCGAAGAGAGAAUGUUGGCAUGAGUAGCAAGAAGACAGGUGAGAAUCCUGUCCGCCGUAAACCCAAGGUUUCCUGGGCAACGAGAAUCGUCCUAGGGUUAGUCGGGAGCUAAGGCGAGGCCGAAAGGCGUAGUCGAUGCACAGCAGGUUAAUAUUCCUGCACUUCGUUUUGUUUCGAUGAGGGGACGCUUUCCGUACCCUCCCGCGUCAUAUGGCUAUGGCGUUGGGUGCGCUGAGGCGAUUGGUAGGUAAAUCCGCCAGUCACAAACCUCGGCGUAAGCGCAAGUUGGUCGCAAGACUGACAAGGGGAGGGGAAAGAGGGUCAAGAAAAGCCUCUAAGGUUAGGCAAAACGAACCCGUACCGGAAACCGACACAGGUGGGUGGGCACGUGAAUGUGCCAAGGCGUACGAGAGAACCCUUUGUUAAGGAACUCGGCAAAAAAGCGGCUGUAACUUCGGGAUAAAGCCUGGUUGCCCCCGGGAGGGGGCGACCCGCAGCGAAAGACGUCAACCGACUGUUUACCAAAAACACAGGUCCCUGCAAAACUGCAAAGUGAUAUAUAGGGGCUGAUGCCUGGCCAGUUAACUGAAGCUAAGGUAGCGAAAUUCCUUGUCGGGUAAGUUCCGACCUGCACGAAUGGCAUAACGAGUUGACGACUGUCUCAACAAGGGACUCGGUGAAAUUGCAAGAUGAGUGAAGAUGCUCAUUGCCCGUGGUUAGACGAAAAGACCCCGUGAAGCUUUACUACAGCUUGUUAUUGGGUUCAUACUUCGUAUGUUCAGUGUAGGUGGGAGCCUUCGGGCGCCAAUGAGACACCACCCUUACGUUGCGUGAAUUCUAACCGAUCGCCGUUAUCCGGUGAUUGGGACAGUAGCUGGUGGGUAGUUUACCUGGGGCGGGUGCCUCCCAAAAAGUAACGGAGGCGUUUACAAAGGUCAGCUUAGCGCGGAUGGAAAUCGCGCUGGACGUGCAA
This 2463-nucleotide ribosomal RNA is filed under the name Candidatus Uhrbacteria bacterium GW2011_GWF2_44_350. RNAcentral's name for it is "bacterial LSU rRNA". It matches the Rfam family "Bacterial large subunit ribosomal RNA", at positions 10 to 2354 of the family's 2925-position model. Lineage: Bacteria; Candidatus Uhriibacteriota. The record is from RNAcentral.